GACGAACGCUGGCGGCGUGCUUAACACAUGCAAGUCGAGCGGUAAGGCCCUUUCGGGGGUACACGAGCGGCGAACGGGUGAGUAACACGUGGGUGACCUGCCCUCAGCUCUGGGAUAAGCCUGGGAAACCGGGUCUAAUACUGGAUAUGACUCCAUGACGCAUGUUGUGGGGUGGAAAGCCUUGUGCGGCUGAGGAUGGGCCCGCGGCCUAUCAGCUUGUUGGUGGGGUGANGGCCUACCAAGGCGACGACGGGUAGCCGGCCUGAGAGGGCGACCGGCCACACUGGGACUGAGACACGGCCCAGACUCCUACGGGAGCAGCAGGUGGGGAAUCUUGCGCAAGUGGGACGAAAGCCUGACGCAGCGACGCCGCGUGAGGGAUGACGGCC
Molecule: ribosomal RNA, 389 nt
Filed under: uncultured bacterium
Lineage: Bacteria
Description: bacterial SSU rRNA
Rfam family: Bacterial small subunit ribosomal RNA
Source: RNAcentral